CUAGAGAGAGAGUUUUUAUGAGGGAGAGCUUCUUAUGAGAGAGAGAUUAGGUGUACGAGGAUUGAGAGUAUAAUUUUUUUUUAUAAUUUUUUUUUCUCAUAGUGAAGUUUGCAUAUCCUGUGGAGGUGAGUCUUUUGGCUGAUCCACAUAUUUGAUUGUGUUUCUGUUAUAUUUCUUCUUUCUUUCUGCUAUGACAUGUAGUAUCGAAAAGAUCCUGUAGAAGUAGUAUCC
Molecule: long non-coding RNA, 231 nt
Filed under: Elaeis guineensis (African oil palm)
Lineage: Eukaryota; Viridiplantae; Streptophyta; Magnoliopsida; Arecales; Arecaceae
Description: long non-coding RNA (EGUI_LNC032769)
Source: RNAcentral